Molecule: ribosomal RNA, 253 nt
Filed under: uncultured bacterium
Lineage: Bacteria
Description: partial 16S ribosomal RNA
Rfam family: Bacterial small subunit ribosomal RNA
Source: RNAcentral
UACAGAGGGUGCGAGCGUUAAUCGGAAUUACUGGGCGUAAAGCGUGCGCAGGCGGCUUUGCAAGACAGAUGUGAAAUCCCCGGGCUUAACCUGGGAACUGCAUUUGUGACUGCAUGGCUGGAGUGCGGCAGAGGGGGAUGGAAUUCCGCGUGUAGCAGUGAAAUGCGUAGAUAUGUGGAGGAACACCGAUGGCGAAGGCGGGUCUCUGGGCCGAUACUGACGCUGAGGAGCGAAAGCGUGGGGAGCGAACAGG